RNAcentral lists this ribosomal RNA (465 nucleotides) under uncultured bacterium. RNAcentral describes it as "partial 16S ribosomal RNA". It matches the Rfam family "Bacterial small subunit ribosomal RNA", at positions 339 to 795 of the family's 1533-position model. The record is from RNAcentral.
CUACGGGGGGCUCCAGUGGGGAAUAUUGGACAAUGGGGGAAACCCUGAUCCAGCAAUGCCGCGUGUGUGAAGAAGGCCUGCGGGUUGUAAAGCACUUUCGGUUGGGAGGACUGCUUCUAGCACUAAUAUUGUUGGAAGUUGACGUUACCUUCAGAAGAAGCACCGGCAACUCCGUGCCAGCAGCCGCGGUGAAUACGGAGGGUGCAAGCGUUAAUCGGAAUUACUGGGCGUAAAGCGCGCGUAGGCGGCUAGAUCAGUCGGGUGUGAAAGCCCCGGGCGUAACCUGGGAACUGCAUCCGAUACUGUCUAGCUUGAGUACAGGAGAGGAGAGUGGAAUUCCACAUGUAGCGGUGAAAUGCGUAGAUAUGUGGAGGAACACCAAUGGCGAAGGCAGCUCUCUGGCCUGAUACUGACGCUGAGGUGCGAAAGCGUGGGGAGCAAACAGGAUUAGAUACCCCCGUAGUC